AGUGAACGCUGGCGGUAGGCCUAACACAUGCAAGUCGAACGGCAGCACAGUAAGAGCUUGCUCUUACGGGUGGCGAGUGGCGGACGGGUGAGGAAUACAUCGGAAUCUACUUUUUCGUGGGGGAUAACGUAGGGAAACUUACGCUAAUACCGCAUACGACCUACGGGUGAAAGCAGGGGAUCUUCGGACCUUGCGCGAUUGAAUGAGCCGAUGUCGGAUUAGCUAGUUGGCGGGGUAAAGGCCCACCAAGGCGACGAUCCGUAGCUGGUCUGAGAGGAUGAUCAGCCACACUGGAACUGAGACACGGUCCAGACUCCUACGGGAGGCAGCAGUGGGGAAUAUUGGACAAUGGGCGCAAGCCCGAUCCAGCCAUACCGCGUGGGUGAAGAAGGCCUUCGGGUUGUAAAGCCCUUUUGUUGGGAAAGAAAAGCAGCAGGUUAAUACCCCGCUGUUCUGACGGUACCCAAGGAAUAAGCACCGGCUAACUUCGUG
Molecule: ribosomal RNA, 492 nt
Filed under: uncultured bacterium
Lineage: Bacteria
Description: partial 16S ribosomal RNA
Rfam family: Bacterial small subunit ribosomal RNA
Source: RNAcentral